ACUUUUUCAACGGUUGAUAUUCUC
This 24-nucleotide small nuclear RNA is filed under the name Arabidopsis thaliana (thale cress). RNAcentral describes it as "snRNA_17278". Lineage: Eukaryota; Viridiplantae; Streptophyta; Magnoliopsida; Brassicales; Brassicaceae. The record is from RNAcentral.